Long non-coding RNA from Anopheles gambiae (African malaria mosquito), 1320 nucleotides. RefSeq lists it as uncharacterized. Lineage: Eukaryota; Metazoa; Arthropoda; Insecta; Diptera; Culicidae. The transcript has 3 exons. The record is from RefSeq and is a predicted model, not a curated record.
AUCAACUCAGGAAAGUAUUGCUGAAGUAAUGUUAUUCACUCACGGCACGGGCAGUGCUCCAUCGCGUGCGGUUUUGUCGCAUAUGGCGUGAAAUUAUUUCUAGCACUGUGAAUUUAGUGAUAAAAUUCGAUAAAAUUGUAAACGAACCCCCAGUUGUGGAAUGCCAUAGAUGUAAACAAACAAAGGCCACAAGAUCAUUCGUUCAGGUCGAACCGGAUACACUUUAUAUACAUUAUAGCGUUUUUCUGUUUAUGUGUGUGUGUUGUUCUUUUGUGUGAAACAUUCUUGGUAAUCGGAGUCUUUGAAAUCGUUCUGGAAAUCACUUCGGUAGAGGGUUAAACCUUGAUCUGCGUGAGAGGGCUGUGUGGUGUAAGCGAACGUGUGCUCGUUGAAGAAUACCAGUAACAGUAAGCAAAUCCAAGCUAGCUAUGAAAACUUAGCUGCCCGUAAUCAACGCCCCAAACCGGACGACAAACAUCCUGCUCUUCGCGAGAGUGGGUUGAAUUUUGGCUUCACCCUCGUACGCUUGCCUUGAGCACGUAGGAAUUAAACAAGAAAAAGAUUCUUCGCGUUCGCCUUGGACCCCAUUGUCGCUGCUGGACAAAGAACGUGGGGAUGGAGGUUUUUUUCUCCGUGUGGUGAUGGUGCACGAAAGGGCGCAGAAAUAGGCGCUACAUAAAAGUGGUGCGUGUUUUUCCCCCGCGUGUUCAAGCAGAUCUUCUCGUAGAGGAAAUUGCUAUUUGACCCGUUUGCUAGAGCAGUGGGCGAGUUGGAAAGUUAUGUGAGAGGAUGAAAAACAUCGGGGGAAACAGCGAGAUCGAGAGGAUCUUCGCGUCGCGAGUGCUGGAAAUAAAAUACUUAACAACAUAUUUGAUCCGCUGGUGGGUCACGUUUCAGGUUGAAAGGGUAAGUAACGGUAACCUUUUUCUUGCGUUGGUUUGGAAUUUCGGUGGUCCUGGUUAAGAGUAAGGAUUAUGUUCGGGAGUUUCUUGCCCUAGAUGUGUAGGUGUUGCAGUGCCAUAUGGGCUGGUGCUGGUGUUUAUGUUAUUAGACUGUAAAAACAUGCCACGUCGAAAAAAUGGAGUUUAUGUUGGCAAAGUUCACGUUGUGUAUUCUAUAGAAAGAAUAUGUACCAAAGAACGUAGUUUCGUUGCAAUUACUGCUUUUUAUAUUUUUUUAUCGUUUAAUGGAGCUACUUUAUGCUCUAUAGAAAUAAAAUUUAAUUUAAUAAUAGUAAAUCACCGAAUGUAAUGUAUAUUCUUAGCAUAUAUUGGACCAUAUUUGAAGUAUUCUUCAAAAACCAUUCAUGAUCUCCCUACA